This 459-nucleotide ribosomal RNA is filed under the name uncultured bacterium. Its description in RNAcentral is "partial 16S ribosomal RNA". It matches the Rfam family "Bacterial small subunit ribosomal RNA", at positions 338 to 795 of the family's 1533-position model. The record is from RNAcentral.
CCUACGGGAGGCAGCAGUGAGGAAUAUUGGUCAAUGGCCGGGAGUCUGAACCAGCCAAGUCGCGUGAGGGAAGACGGCCCUACGGGUUGUAAACCUCUUUUGUCAGGGAGUAAGGUGCAGCUCGUGACCUCCUUUGAGUGUACCUCAAGAACAAGCAUCGGCUAACACCGGGCCAGCAGCCGCGGUAUUACGGAGGAUGCGAGGGUUAUCCGGAUUUUUUGGGUUAAAGGGGUGCGCAGGCGGAGGCACAAGUCAGCGGUAAAAUCGCGGGGCUCAACCCCGCCCCGCCGUUGAAACUGUGGGCCUGGAGUGCGCGAAGGGUAGGCGGAAUGCGUGGUGUAGCGGUGAAAUGCAUAGAGAUCGCGCAGAACCCCGAUCGCGAAGGCAGCCUACCGGCGCGAAACUGACGCUGAUGCACGAAAGCGUGGGUAUCGAACAGGAUUAGAUACCCCAGUAGUC